Long non-coding RNA from Brienomyrus brachyistius, 2573 nucleotides. RefSeq lists it as uncharacterized. NCBI's taxonomy places the organism in Eukaryota, Metazoa, Chordata, Actinopteri, Osteoglossiformes, Mormyridae. The record is from RefSeq and is a predicted model, not a curated record. The transcript is spliced from 3 exons.
GGCUAAUCACCAUUGUCUGCAUGCAUACCCAGAUAGCAUGCGUAGUCGGGCCGAUUCUGGCUGAGGGUCGGCACUGUCGGCUUACUGUAUGUACGUCCGAUUACAACUAAGUGUGAUUUAUCGGGGCUAGUACAUUGCUUAUGCGCCACCCUGUAUAUAUGUAGGGCUCCAACAUUAUGAAAAAAUCACGUCAUGAUAACCGUAUAUCCAAAUAUCACAGUUUUCGAUGUAUCACGGAUUUGUCACCUUAAUAGAAUGAGAAACGUAAUAUGUAAUAUUAAGGACUAGGCUGGGAACCCUGGCCUGGUGUCGAGGCAAAAGUAUUCUAUCGGCCGCGAAACGUUAGAAAAUCUACAACUAAACCAAUAACCAACAAUACCGUUAUCUUGGGAUAUAUGGAUUAAGAUUAAUAUAUACAAUAAAAAAUUAUUAAGGCUGAAGUGUAGCUCUUAGAACAGGUAUUCGCGUUAACAACCGUAGCCAAAAAAUUGCAAUAAAAAUUUAUAUCUGCGUUUUAACAGCCGCUGUUUUAAAACGCGCGAGCAGGCGUUAGGUGACCAAUACAGACACUGCACUCUAUAGCACUGUAAUGAACUCCAGUUAACCAUAUUUUACUUAAUUAUUAAUUGUUGCGAAUUUUUAUGUGAAUUACUUAUGUAUACAUUACUGUAUUUUCUAAAUGAUUAUGGUAAUAUUCGAUCAACGUCUAAAUCGUCUAACGUCCUGUUUUACAGAACGUAAUGCAGACAUUAAACGGGGGAUACCUGUAGUUGCAGUUGUCAGUGGGGAGGUAGAAUGGUUUUUGCAAACAUGGAAUUUAUAUCACUUCCCAGUAUGGCAUUGCAGGAUCACAUAGCCAGCUACACUGAAUCUUGACACAAAACUGUCCUCGAAUACAGUAUGGUAGUAGUGUAGGACUGAUUAGAUUCAUUUGUGUAGAGAUAAGCGAUCCACAUAUUUUUGUAUCUGAAUCCAAUCAGGUAAAUAUAUUAAAAUAUCUAAAGGCAAAUGUGUUUUAUUUCCCCUCAUAUUUCCUUUUCUUCCCAGAGUGCACAGAAGUAACCCACACACCAUAUAAGGUACUUUAAAUAUGGAUAGACAUAAGGUUAGGAAAAAAGCUGUGGAAAAAAAGUGAACAUGUUUUUAGUAUCGCUUAUGAGUGAGAAUACAGAGGGCACUGAGACUGUGAUGGAAGGUUAUCAUACAAUCGGUGAUACCAGUGUAGAUCAAGCCUAUCCUUUCUAUCCCAGUCAAUCAGAGAGUGAGGGGGAGACCUCAGGGGAAUCUGAGAGUGCUUAUGCAGGGGGUGAUAUGAGCAGUUUGUCAUUGGUGGGCGCACUGAGUGACUGGGCUGUCAGGUUUGGUGUAUCUUUAGUUGCUUUGUCUGCCCUUCUGGGAAUUCUCAGAAUACACCACCCAUAUCUACCCAAGGAUGCCAGGACCCUACUCAAAACAAAAACCCUGUAUUGUGUGCAGAAUGUGGCUGGUGGUCAUUACUAUUAUUUUGGCAUUUUAAAAACCUUUGGCAAAACAAUGGAGAGGAUGUGGUCUGAAGUUACAGUACAUAUAAGUAAUGGUCUGAUUUGGAUGUGAUUUGGUACAUGUGCAGACCAGCCAUGGGACCAGCAGUGUGCCUAUUCUGCCAACUCUGUUGUCUGUGUGAUCUGAUAUUAUAAUCAUUGCAAUACAGUCACAUGACCUUUCACCACGUCCAGAUUCAUUUCCACCACUCCGUCUGGGUGCUUAACUUUUUUUGUCACUGAGUAUAUUUUGUUUAUUAUCAUCAACAGCUAUGUUCAAAAUUGUGGAGUUUAAGGAGACAAAUGAGGUAGAACUGGUCCCUGGUGUGUGGGUGAAAGAUGGUGUCUUAAAGGAAAGCAGUUGGAUUCAGCAAUGAAGCAUCAGGUCACUCCAGACCACAGCUGGAUACAGUGGGAAGUCAGAGUGAUGUUUAUAACAGAGAGUAAUGAGGAAGGGAGACGGAAAUGACGGGAAGCCGAACAGCGGUCAGACCUCCAGUCAGAAGCUGAAGAGUCUGGGAAAAAGAAAAGGAGAAAAAUGCCAAGUAGCAGACUUCUAGAUGCCACUAAUGGUGCUUCAAGUGAGAGUGAAGAAGAAGCAGGACUGCAGCAGAGUGACAGACGUCUACCUGAGGCCCCACCAAUCAGCCAAGUUAAAAUUUUAACACCAUUGCAGACUGCUAAUACUGGAAGUCGCAGUACUAUUCCCUGGCUGAAGAAUCCACCCCUCCCUCUGGAAAUGAUGUGGCAACCUACUGAUGCCCUACGUGGAGAGCAUGACCUAAACAAAAACCGUGCAGACUUGUUUUCCUCACCACCACCUCAUCCAGAGCCUUCAAAAGUUCAGAAGUCCUGGAUACCAUCUGAAGGUAAUAUUCAUAUAUUUCGUUAUUUAUGAAUGUUACUUCUCAAAAGGAUUAUUGUUAUCUGCAAACUAAAAUUUGGUGUUUAAAAUAGCAUAAUUAGCCAGUGUUAUAUUAGAAGGAGCAUUUAUUGUCCUGUGACGUUACCUUUUCAUUUGCCGUCGCUGACGCUGUGUAACAGGGCCAUUGU